RNAcentral lists this long non-coding RNA (5534 nucleotides) under Sus scrofa (pig). RNAcentral's name for it is "lncRNA (ENSSSCG00030034557.1)". The record is from RNAcentral. Lineage: Eukaryota; Metazoa; Chordata; Mammalia; Artiodactyla; Suidae.
AAAAAGCAGGACACUGAUGAUGGUUGCAACCGCCGCCCCCCCCUCCCCGCACCUGCCCCAUUGCAAGGCCAGUGUAGACAUACUUUUCAUGUCGUGGAUCUGGGAUCAAACUUAGGCUGGUGCACCUUUACCUUCAGCCAUCAUCAAGCCAGAGCUUUGAGAUAUUUCAAUCUUAUGAAGCAACAAGUCUCAAAGAAUCAAAGGAUGACAAGUUUUGUGCAAACAGGGGUUGGUUCAUACAUUGUUUUAGUGAUCUUUUUUUUUUUUUCAAAAUUUAAAAAAUUUUUAUUAAAGUAUAAUUGACAUACAGCGUUGGGUCAAUUUCUGCUAUAUAGUAUAGUGACCCAAUCAUAUUACAUUGUAAUUACUAUUACAUUUAGAAUGGUUCAUGCACUUUCAAAGGACGAGGGCUGACUUGUAUAACACUGUUGUAGACUGAAGCUGCAGGUGCUGAUGAGAUGACAGUUCAAGAAAGCAGAAACUUUGCUUUGAAGGCAGCAAAAAAGACAAAUAACAUGUUUGCUUAAUGCUUAUUCUUGUUAGCAGGAAAUAUAACAUUUAGAGAAAAAAAUCUAUCAAACAAUUAUCCGAGGAUCAAUUUUUUUUUAAAUAUCACAAAUUGAUCAUCUUCCUACCAAAUUAUCUCAACUAUUCCUGGGCAAAUUUCCCCAGAGAAGCCCCUUUGAAUUCUCUGACCUCAAUAGUAUUCUUUCCCCUCUGGGUUUGUUGCAACAAACGCUAGGAGACAUUGUAAAGCAGGAUGAGAGAAAGCUCUGUGAUACACUGUACCCAACGCCAGAUUAAAUACGGUUUUAUGGGGUUGGGUUCUGUGUGAUCUGUUAAAGUCCUGUGGUAUAUGCACUUUAGAAAUCAUUUCCUUGUACCGAGAUAUCACUUGUGGUUUGUGGUUGUUUCCAUAACAAGUUUGCCAUUCUGGUUUUUCUCCAGAAAUGCGACCGUCUGGUAGACCAGUGGCUUGCUUCUGCAGGGUGGCUACACCUGGGUGUGUUACAGUCACUUGGGCGUUGGAUUGCAAGUGGGUCUGAAGUGUGUCAAUGGUUGCCUGUUUUUAAUAAUUAGAUCUGGUUCAAAAUUAUCCGUGUGAAAAUGCUGUUCUCAUUCCCUGCUAACUCGUCCUUUUUGGGGUACCAAAGUGCUGCUUCAUGGGAGAGAAAGAAUUUGCUCCUGGUGAUGCUUAGCUGGAUCUUGUUAGUUUGAGAGGAGUGCAUAGUGUGAGCAGAGGCAAGGGGGAAGAAAUGGAUGGAAAUUUCACAGAAGAAAAACAGUGCAGAGUGUCUGAAUUUGGAGAGGUCUUGGGAUGUGUAGCUGGACUGUUUGGAAGGAUCCAGCUGGAUGGCAGUGGGAUGAAACUCAGCCCCUGUAACUAGAACUUUAACUGGCUGUGUUGCUUCUCUCUAUGAUUUUCAUCAAUCUGUCAUAGUAUGUGCCCAAUCAAUUCCCUCUGACCACCCCUGAAUGUGAGUCUGUCACGGGGAGAUUUUCAGCAGCCCUAGGCUGGCUUGCCUCGUAGACUUCUGGCUCUUAGGUGUGCUUCUGUUUUCCUACAUUUAAAAAAUUGAGAUAUAAUUCACACACCAUAAAAACCACUCAUUUAAAAAUGCUAUUCCAUUGUGUGGAUACACCACAUUUUUUCUAUUCAUCAGUUGGUGGACAUUUGGGUUCUUUCCACAUUUUGGCUCUCAUGAAUAAUGCUGCUGUGAACAUUCAGGUGCAAGUUUGUGUGUGGGCAGAUGUUGUCAUUUCUCUGUAGUAUUCAUUUAGGAGUGUAAUUGCUGGGUUAUAUGGUAGCUCUUUGUUUAACUUUUGGAGACACUACCAAACUGUUUUCCAAAGUGGUAGCACCAUUUUAGAAUCUCGCCUGAAAGUAUGGCGGUUCCCACUUCUCCACUUCCUUACCAACACAUGAAAUUAUUUAUCUUUUUGGUUAUCCUUCCUAAGAUGUGUGAAAUAGUAUGUCAUUAUGGUUUUAAUUGGCGUUUUCCUAAUGACUAAUGAUAUUGAUCAUCAUCAUGUGUUUAUUAGCCAUUUAUUUAUCUCCUUUGGGAAAACGCCUAAUCAGAUUUUUUUGCCCACUUUCCAGUUGGGUUAUCUGUCUUUUUAUUAUUGAGUUCUAAGAGUUCUUUCUAUUCAUAUGAUUUGUAAAAUUGUAAAACUUGUAAAAUUUUUCCACAUUCUGUGGUUUGUCUUUUCAGUUUCUUGAUAGUCUUCGUAGAAGCACAAAAGAUUUUAAAACUUGACAGGUCAAAUUUAUCUCCUUUUUUUCUUUUGUUACUGGUGGGGACAGUACUGUUUUAAACGAAAGAACAGUCCAAAGAAAUGGCCACUGGCCAAUGGGGGUCUCUAGGGGUUAACAUGUGGCUGGAAUCCCAAAGCCAGAAAGACUGAAUUAUCUUUAAUCCUAUUACUGGAUUUAGAUAACGUUUUAGAAUUAGAUAAUCAUUAUCUAGUUGCCAACCAUUCUGUUGUUAACAUGGUAGAGAUACGGGCCUGAAAGAGAAUGAAAAGACUGUCACCUCUGGGUCUCUAUUUUCAAUGCCCUCGGAUUGCGGGGGUAGAGUAGGAACCUGGGGUUGGACAAGAGCAAGGGCAUUUUGCUGCACUUAAAAUCAGCUUUGAACUCAAAGGUUGAUUUCUAACUCACUGUUUAAACCUUUGGCCUUGAUUUGAAUCCAAUUUGCAUUUGAAAAUAAAGAGAGCCUCCAUUUGAGGGAGUCUAACCCACACUUUGAUUGUGAAAGUGGUUAAAAAUUGAACACAGUUUAGAAACAAACGAAUGCUAUUGACACCUCUAGCUUGGGAUCCUGCUGUAUAUGAAAUAUUGAAGCAAUUUAGAAGUUUGUUUUUAUUUAUUUAUUUAUUUAUUUAUUUUUCAAUUUAGAAGUUUUUAAAGUGAGUUCAUGGUUGUGCUGGAUAGAUCUUUGCUCAUUUCUGCAAUUUGCUCUUGAGGUGCUCUCUGCUUCCGAGCACUUUGCUCAGAGAAUCUUCAACCCUAAGAAUCGAAAGGAAUCUUAAGUCAUUUAAUCCAAACCCCGACUCCUUUUUCAAAUCUGCUUGCCAAUAAUGAGUGGAAUGUGGCAGGGAAAACGCCAGUAAGAACCAAGAGGGGACAGGCGGCUUAAGGAUGUUAUGCUUGCUUCAGGCAGGACGGAUGCUAAGGAAAGAGAGAGGAAGCAAGUGGGGAAGGAUGCUGAGCUAGAACGAAAUAAAUAAGGUUUGCAAAGUCCAAAGGGGAAGGCCAGCUUUUGAGACUUAGUUGUGUAAAAAGGAGUUAUUUUCCCAAAAUCCUUCCAGCUACAUUUCAUCAUUCCCUUCUCUGGGGUUGUGUCCUGUUUAAUUAGAACGCUUUUCUAGCACCAGUCACUAUCUGUUAUUUUUGAACAUAUCUAUGUGUCUUGCCAGACCGGGAGCUCCUGGAGAAAAAAGCCAUGCCCUCACUUGCCUAGCCUUUCCAGUCCCUGACUCUUAGGGACUUGGAUGAUAAUAUUGUGACAUGGCUACAAAUACGGGCUUUAGGGUCAGUAAGGCUGACUCUUGGCUUCAGUAGCUCCAGAUUGGACACGUCUCCCUGGCUUUGACUAGCUGUGUGACCUUGGGCAGGUCACUGAACCAGUCUUCGUGACCUUAUAUGUAAGAGGAAGAAUGACAGCCCCCCCCCCAGAUAAGGAUGAGCACUGAGCCGAGUUCCUGGCACUUGGCAAAUGAUUGCUGCUGAGAUUCAGCUUAUAGGCCUCAAGAAAUGCUUGCUGGGAUUAUUGGCGAGGGGCAGGUGGAAGAGCUCCAGACCUUGGGGCACGGCUCCAGCUGGCUGCUGGUAGUGCUAAAGCCACCUUAAUUCUGGAGCCUCAAAGUGGUGACUUGCUGACUCGAGUCAACUGGGCGACCCAAGUUUAGCUAACUUAGUAGCAUGGUGCCCUGUUACUAUGGAGAUCUCUUUGGUUUGGUUCACCUGACCCGUAAUCCAGGGUAACAGGUUAGAUUUUCCUGGUGCUGUCUCCCAGCUUCUGCGGGGGGAGGAGACAGGUGGAAGUCAACCUAAGGAGUCAGGAAGCAAACCUGUGCUCCCUUCUCCCUUCCAGGGCCUAAGGAAUAGCUUUUAUCUUUGGGGUCCUUGGGUAGUUUUCCCCAGAUGGAAUGGCAGGUUGCCUUGUGAUUGGUAAUCGUAGUCGUGAUUGUGAUUGCUGUCAUGAAUCAUUUCUUCAACAAGUGCCUCUGGGUCUCCUCUCUGCUGCGUGUUAGGGGGAAGGGGAACGAAGGAGAUAGAGUCUUGUCCCAGAAGAGCACACAGCCUAGUGUGGGUGACCAGGCGUUACCAGAGUGUGGUGAGUGUUCUUGUGGGAAAAGUACACAGGUGUCAUGGGAGCGCAUUCCCAUCCUUGGGACUUUUCAGAAACUUCUGGAAGACAUGCCUCCUGAUCUGAGUCUUGCAAGAGAAACCAAGUUGUUAGACAAAACCAAGAAUGGGAGUUCCAUCCAAUUAAAGGGAGAGGCGCAUGCAAAGGCAAGGAGGUGAGAGAUGAGUUUGACUGCAGUGUAAGAUGUUAUAUAUAGAAUAUGAUUAUUUUUAUGGCAGGUAACAAUAAUACAGCAUUUGUCGUAGUCAGACACUGCGUUCACUGUUUAACAGUUUAAAUUUAACCUCUUUAAAUGCCAAAGCAAGAAAGCUAAUAAUUGUAACAGCUAAAAUAUAAUGAGUACACCUCAGACGUCAGGCACUAGACCAAGGGGACUUUUGGCAUGAUCUAACUUAGUCUUCAUUAUUCCUCCCAAUACACAGAUCAGGUAACCGAGAGAUUUCAGUCAUUGGCCCCAGGUCGCAUUGGUGGCAAAUGGCCAAGCUGGGAUUUGAACACAGAAACUGUCAUUAGGCUACAAAGAGGCAGCCGUUUCCUCUCAGUGCCGGUUGGGCAGAUGCCACAUUGGUGAAGAAUGAUCCCACAUUAUGCAAGACUGCCUGGCCAUCAACUCAGCCUCCUGGGAUUCUUUGUGGAAUUAAGGCAGGUUGUAAUAAAAUAGCGCACACGCAAUGGACCCAGAAGCCAGCAGAGAAGUGCUAACUGCUUUACUCCUGAAGAAACGUCUGUCUGCACAAGGAGUUGAAAGAGUUCAGAAAAUGUUAUUAGGUGGCAUCUCCGCAUUCAUGAGGAACUCCGGGGUCCUGCAAGGUCUUUUUAGAAACACUGAAGUCCCAGCUAGCCAGAGUCAACAAAGCAUCGCAAAUUGGGUUCUAAUGCCAGUGGUGAGCUCUUUGUGUGACAGAGCUCAGUCUUGCUUCCAGGCCAUCAAAAGCCAAUUUCCGGAGUUCCCGUCAUGGCUCAGUGGUUCACAAACCCGACUAGUAUCUAUGAGGACUCGGGUUCCAUCCCUGGCCUUGCUCAGUGGGUUAAGGAUCCGGUGUUGCUGUGAGCUGUGGUGUAGGUCGCAGACUCGGCUCAGAUCCUGUGGCUGUGGCUGUGGCUGGUGGCAGCAGCUCUGAUUCCACCCCUAGCCUGGGAACCUCCAUAUGUUGCGGGUGC